Non-coding RNA from Coffea arabica (coffee), 593 nucleotides. Lineage: Eukaryota; Viridiplantae; Streptophyta; Magnoliopsida; Gentianales; Rubiaceae. The record is from RefSeq and is a predicted model, not a curated record.
UUAAUCAAUCAAGCAGGUAAGAAGUGCGAGUACGAGCUUGUCAUGGAACGGAUGCAGAAGAUCCAGGAAGCCGAAGCCCAACAAAAACAAGGCUCCCCAGCGGCGCAGCCUAUUCCUCAAACUGCCAAUGCUUCAUCUAAAGGUUUUAUUUGAUAAUUUGAGGUACAGAAUUCUGCAUCAGAGUGCUGUCCUGGGGCACUGGCUGUUUUUCAGAUUUAGGUUGGGUCCUGCAGCAGAGUUGGGGAGGAGGAUGGGCCAAAAGGCACUGGUGCCUGCCUCCCCAUGGUUAUUGUCACCCAAAAUAAGUUGGACACUCAAGGUCCUCUUUUUGGUUGAAAUGAAGGAUUCGGCACAUUGGGGGACCUAGUCAAGAGACAACCAAGAAGUUUGUUGAUUAUCGGUUAAAGGGCAACAUGUGGUGCUUAGAUUAGAUAUUUCACAGUUUUCACUAGUUAGAUGUUUUAUUCAAGAUGAUUUAGUUUAUAGGAGAUGAGUCCAUAGUUGGAGACGAUCAUGUGUAGGUCUAUUGGUCUUAGAAUUUACUUAUGCAUAGCUGCCCUGAAAAUCUGAAUCAAAGUAAUCCUUUUUUAAAA